GGGCAGGUAGAAGGUGGUCGCCCCUGCACCAUAUGGCGCAGGGGAGGAAAGUCCGGGCUCCAGAGGAUAGCGUAAUGGGUAAUGCCCAUCCUUCGGAUGUAAAUCCGGGGCGGAUUAGAGCCACAGAGACGAGUAGAGGCCAAAGGCCAUAACACGAAGAUUCUGAGUCCGCCUAUGGCGGACUCAGAAUCACUUCUCGGCCUGCGGCCUCGAAGUGAAACGAGGCAAUCUCUACGCGGAGCAAGGUGCAAUAGGAGACGAUGCGCUGAUCCGGCGCGCUUCCCGCAUUUUGCGGGAUCCCGCUUCGGCGGGAAAAAGUCUCGGGUAAGCCCCCGCACCAAUUACGUAUUUAGCCUAGGCUAUAUUGCAAUUGGUGCGGGGGUAAACUGCUUGAGCCUUGACGGUAACGUCGAGGUCGAGAGAAAUGAUCACUAUAGAUGCGGAUAUUCGUAUCAAGACAGAACUCGGCUUAUUCUACCUGUCCUAUU
This 488-nucleotide RNase P RNA is filed under the name Candidatus Omnitrophota bacterium. RNAcentral describes it as "RNase P RNA component class A". It matches the Rfam family "Bacterial RNase P class A". Rfam says of the family: Ribonuclease P (RNase P) is a ubiquitous endoribonuclease, found in archaea, bacteria and eukarya as well as chloroplasts and mitochondria. Its best characterised activity is the generation of mature 5'-ends of tRNAs by cleaving the 5'-leader elements of precursor-tRNAs. Lineage: Bacteria; Pseudomonadati; Candidatus Omnitrophota. The record is from RNAcentral.